RNAcentral lists this long non-coding RNA (270 nucleotides) under Populus trichocarpa (black cottonwood). Its description in RNAcentral is "long non-coding RNA (PTRI_LNC004764)". Lineage: Eukaryota; Viridiplantae; Streptophyta; Magnoliopsida; Malpighiales; Salicaceae. The record is from RNAcentral.
CGGGUUUGAAGUCGCUCCAGCUCUGCUAGCUGUGGUUCCAUUAGCGGCGCCUCCUGUAUUUUCAGUUGGAAGUUGGAGGAGUUUAUCAUCUUGUGUGUGCUUGCUUCACAAGAUUAAUGAAAAAAAAAAAACAGGUCCUGGCCGUUCAUGUUUCACAAAACCAACGAUAAAUGACUCAUUAAUGCAUUUGAAUCGGGACUAAUUCGAUGAAUAUUUAUUAUUCGUCAAUUGGUGGAUUUCAUUUGAAUAGUUAGGGGUGUUCAUAAAGAU